This 490-nucleotide ribosomal RNA is filed under the name uncultured bacterium. RNAcentral's name for it is "partial 16S ribosomal RNA". It matches the Rfam family "Bacterial small subunit ribosomal RNA", at positions 30 to 507 of the family's 1533-position model. The record is from RNAcentral.
AUUGAACGCUGGCGGCAGGCCUAACACAUGCAAGUCGAACGGUAACAGGAAGAAGCUUGCUUCUUUGCUGACGAGUGGCGGACGGGUGAGUCAUGUCUGGGAAACUGCCUGAUGGAGGGGGAUAACUACUGGAAACGGUAGCUAAUACCGCAUAACGUCGCAAGACCAAAGAGGGGGACCUUCGGGCCUCUUGCCAUCGGAUGUGCCCAGAUGGGAUUAGCUAGUAGGUGGGGUAACGGCUCACCUAGGCGACGAUCCCUAGCUGGUCUGAGAGGAUGACCAGCCACACUGGAACUGAGACACGGUCCAGACUCCUACGGGAGGCAGCAGUGGGGAAUAUUGCACAAUGGGCGCAAGCCUGAUGCAGCCAUGCCGCGUGUAUGAAGAAGGCCUACGGGUUGUAAAGUACUUUCAGCGGGGAGGAAGGGAGUAAAGUUAAUACCUUUGCUCAUUGACGUUACCCGCAGAAGAAGCACCGGCUAACUCCAUG